AUCCAGCUGAUGAAUCCUAGAUUAGGACGAAACGCAUUUCCUGGAU
Molecule: non-coding RNA, 46 nt
Organism: Schistosoma rodhaini
Lineage: Eukaryota; Metazoa; Platyhelminthes; Trematoda; Strigeidida; Schistosomatidae
Source: Rfam